This 288-nucleotide ribosomal RNA is filed under the name Oenococcus oeni. Its description in RNAcentral is "partial 16S ribosomal RNA". It matches the Rfam family "Bacterial small subunit ribosomal RNA", at positions 1 to 263 of the family's 1533-position model. The record is from RNAcentral. Lineage: Bacteria; Bacillati; Bacillota; Bacilli; Lactobacillales; Lactobacillaceae.
UUAAAUUGAGAGUUUGAUCCUGGCUCAGGAUGAACGCUGGUGGCGUGCCUAAUACAUGCAAGUCGUACGCUAGCCGCUGAAUUGAUCCUUCGGGUGAAGUGAGGCAAUGACUAGAGUGGCGAACUGGUGAGUAACACGUAAGAAACCUGCCCUUUAGUGGGGGAUAACAUUUGGAAACAGAUGCUAAUACCGCGUAACAACAAAUCACACAUGUGAUCUGUUUGAAAGGUCCUUUUGGAUCGCUAGAGGAUGGUCUUGCGGCGUAUUAGCUUGUUGGUAGGGUAGAAG